UGGGGUGUAGCCCAGUGGUAGAGUGUGUUCUUAGAACGAGCAAGGCCCUGGGUUCCAUCCCCAGCACCCAAA
Molecule: non-coding RNA, 72 nt
Organism: Ictidomys tridecemlineatus (thirteen-lined ground squirrel)
Lineage: Eukaryota; Metazoa; Chordata; Mammalia; Rodentia; Sciuridae
Source: Rfam